AUGAAGUUGGAAUUGCUAGUAAUCGCAGAUCAGAAUGCUGCGGUGAAUACGUUCCCGGGCCUUGUACACACCGCCCGUCACACCAUGGGAGCCGGUAAUACCCGAAGUCAGUAGUCUAACCGCAAGGGGGACGCUGCCGAAGGUAGGAUUGGCGACUGGGGUGAAGUCGUAACAAGGUAAC
RNAcentral lists this ribosomal RNA (181 nucleotides) under uncultured bacterium. RNAcentral describes it as "partial 16S ribosomal RNA". It matches the Rfam family "Bacterial small subunit ribosomal RNA", at positions 1320 to 1500 of the family's 1533-position model. The record is from RNAcentral.